Molecule: long non-coding RNA, 1504 nt
Organism: Lycium ferocissimum
Lineage: Eukaryota; Viridiplantae; Streptophyta; Magnoliopsida; Solanales; Solanaceae
Exons: 5
Source: RefSeq, a predicted model, not a curated record
AACAUUGUAGUUGAAUGUACACUAGGAAUUAUCGUCACCAUUGGGGGAUGUAAAUAGUAGGUCAUAAUGAUUAAGAUAAGGUCAUCGAAGGGGUCGAGGCAAACCUAGUAAGAGUGGAAAGAGACGGCCGGUGAAUUCCCAGAUACAUUAUUCUCUCUAGUUAUCUAUUCCACCACAGGGCUACUCGAUGCCCCCCAUCUCAAUGCCUCCCUCUACAUGACCUGGUAUGGCCCAGUAAGCCACCCCCAUUCUAUCAGUAUACGGGUCCCCCACGAUUAUACUGAAAUGCCUCCAUCCGCCUUUUUGCAUUUUCACACAGGGUUAUACUACCUUGCUAGCUAUAGGUCGAUGACUCUCUCUACCUUACGACUGUCAUCUAGUACUCCACUUUCAUCCAGUUCAACUAGAUCACAACCUUCUUUAUCAGCCAGUCGACCAUUUCUCCUCUCAUGUCUUCGCCUUUGAGAUAGUAGCUCUUAACUAGACACCCUACUACGCAUCACUUUGCUGCAUAGGGUCAGGAUGCUCUGCAACCUAGGAAGAUUAACGGUUAUCGAAGGCUCAUCAUCAAACCUGAGGGGUUCGGGUUCAAUCCGGGCCUAGAGACUAUGAAGAUCAUUACAAAUGCCACUGGCGAUCUUUAUGAUGUUGUAUACACGACUUGGGGUGAGACUCCACAACCGCUCAAGCAAUAAAUGUUCAAUGAAUUUAAGAAAAUGUGUGUAUGGCUCCCCCACCAUGAAAGGAAGAUCACUACUAACUUUGAAUAAAAAGCAAGUCAUAGGCUGUCCAACUUGAUUUCAGUUGCUCACGGGAGAGGUGCGAAGCUCACGUGAUGCCAACCACAUAAGUGGAAAGACCUAUGCAGACACUGGAACAAUCAUGAGCAGUUUAAGAAGAAGAUUGAACUGAGAAAGAAAGUCAGAGCCUCUCAGAGGGGAAAAAACGGGGAAGAAACUAAUUUAAGAUGAGUUAUUCAAGGCCACUAACGUAAGGAAGAAGAAAAGAAACACAGAUCUAGAUACUUGGGUCGAGCAACCGGCUGAUACUACCUAUGUUAAUAUCAAAGUUCUUCCUUGGAGGAGUUCCGCUGGAUUCAACCGACCAGUGAUCUGGGCGAGCCAAUACAAAUUUCAUAUGAGGAUAGUAAGAAAAUUUGGUUGGACACUAUUAGUGGCCCAAGAAAGGGGAGAGCUUACGACCUUUCUGAACGAGCAUUUCAUCGUUACAAGUCAGGGUUGCAACACAUAAGAACUUCCUCAGAAGGCUAGGCAAUGGAUAGGGCGAUCAUGAUGUCUAGGAUAUCGAAGAUAGUUUGAAAGGAUCAAGGCUCAAUUAUGAGCAUUACUUGCUACCGGGAUAUUUUUGAUUCAUGUGCUAAUAAUGCUAUCCCCGAUCUCGAGCUCCAUACGAUCGUCCUGCCCGCGAUCAUCCUAUCCGCGGUCUUGUAGAUGAGGAAGAUUCUUCUAAUAGUUCAGACGAUGUGGUGGCAAACUCCAUUCGA